GACGAACGCUGGCGGCGUGCUUAACACAUGCAAGUCGAACGGAAAGGCCCUGCUUUUGUGGGGUUCUCGAGUGGCGAACGGGUGAGUAACACGUGAGUAACCUGCCCUUGUCUUUGGGAUAACUUCAGGAAACUGGGGCUAAUACCGGAUAGGAGCUCCUGCUGCAUGGUGGGGGUUGGAAAGUUUCGGCGGUUGGGGAUGGACUCGCGGCUUAUCAGCUUGUUGGUGGGGUAGUGGCUUACCAAGGCUUUGACGGGUAGCCGGCCUGAGAGGGUGACCGGGGACAUUGGGACUGCGAUACGGCCCAGACUCCUACGGGGGGCAGCAGUGGGGAAUAUUGCACAAUGGGCGGAAGCCUGAUGCAGCAACGCCGCGUGCGGGAUGACGGCCUUCGGGUUGUAAACCGCUUUCGCCUGUGACGAAGCGUGAGUGACGGUAAUGGGUAAAGAAGCACCGGCUAACUACGUG
RNAcentral lists this ribosomal RNA (468 nucleotides) under uncultured bacterium. Its description in RNAcentral is "partial 16S ribosomal RNA". It matches the Rfam family "Bacterial small subunit ribosomal RNA", at positions 28 to 507 of the family's 1533-position model. The record is from RNAcentral.